This 254-nucleotide ribosomal RNA is filed under the name uncultured bacterium. RNAcentral's name for it is "partial 16S ribosomal RNA". It matches the Rfam family "Bacterial small subunit ribosomal RNA", at positions 524 to 776 of the family's 1533-position model. The record is from RNAcentral.
UACGGGGGGAGCAAGCGUUGUUCGGAUUUACUGGGCGUAAAGGGCGCGUAGGCGGCCACUGCAAGUCAGUUGUGAAAUCUCCGGGCUUAACUCGGAAAGGUCAACUGAUACUGCAGGGCUAGAGUGCAGAAGGGGCAACUGGAAUUCUCGGUGUAGCGGUGAAAUGCGUAGAUAUCGAGAGGAACACCUGCGGCGAAGGCGGGUUGCUGGGCUGACACUGACGCUGAAGCGCGAAAGCCAGGGGAGCAAACGGG